AAAUACCACCAAAGACUAAGGCACUGCAAACUGACAGAGCAUAAGAGAGAUUUUUAUACAGACACCUUUUGGAAAGAAGUUAUUUCUGCAACACAUCGCUCUAGAGAUUGACUUUGGAGCUGUACAAAGCAUAGCUGUUUCCACGGUAAAAUGCUGACACCUAUUGGUCAAAGUAGGUAGUGCAGCGGGUUCAGUACAGUGAGUAGAAAGAGAGAAUUUGCUACUCUCCGGGCCAUUUAUAAAAUAAGCACAACUUAUGAAGUCCAGUAUUUUUAAUUACAAUGAGCUGAUGUGAUAUGCUGUGGCAGCUAAACCACUUUUGCUCUGUUCUGACGUAUUUUCAUAUGAUCAUUACGCACCACUUUGAUGCAGUAAUUAUGUGGAUGCCCAAAUAUUAAAAAAAAAAAAGCCGCCAUAACUAAAGUUGAACUGGGGGAAAAACUCACUAAAAAUAAUUAUUACAGGGAUUUUUAACAGUAGGUACAAAAAAGCGUGAUUUAAGCGAGCGUGGUUGCUAUGCGUCCCCAGGUUCUAUUUGCAUUGCAUCUUUUGAUAUAGUUCAGACACAUUUCACUCGACGUGUUGUGCAAAGCUACAAGGGAUUUCUGCAAAUUUCUGCAAAUUUCUGCAAAAGUAAGACACCUUUCUGCUCAAGACUUCUUGCAGCCUUACAAGAGUUCAACUCCCACCGUCACGAAGGAAAGCGACCCAGCAUCCAUCAUCCGUCAUGGACAAGCUUACUGUGCCCGUUCACCUCAAAGACCAUAAUUAUCGGAUGAAAAACACUGCAUGCCGGGCCCGUGAUGCAAAGAAACCCAGAGCCUGCAGCAAACAACCAUGCUGCAGCAAGGACCAGGUUAUUAAUUCAACCCUGAGGCCCCGGCGCUCUGAUAGAAUAGCCAGUCAGCCCCAGAAAAGGAAGCGAAGCCCAGCAUCCAGUUCUUCCCGACCUUUGGUUAAACCUCGAAAGAACUCGGUGCCUCCCUCUGCUAUCUCACAUGACGACCUGCCAGUGGCAAAAAAAAUGCCCCCCAGACCCGAGCCAUGCAGUACCGACCACCAGCCAACCAGCUCCGGUGACAGCCCUUUAAAAAUCCACAAUCUCUCAGUGGAAGAUUAUCAGCGACUCUACCAUGAGGUGGUAGAUAGCAUGCUGACGUACGUUUGUCUCCAAAUCUCCUGUCACUUUUUAAAAUCGCCAGCUCUAAAAUGGUUACAGUAGGUUUUUGACCACAUGCAUCAUUUUGAUUGAAUUUCUUUUUGCAGGUACAAGAAUGGCCGCCCUCGUCCCUACAGUUUAGAGCUGGGGAGACGCAUUAAGAAAAAGCUGUGGGAGAGACUGAAUCGUCCUGUGGUGCAGACAUCAACUAACGAGGAUGGACUUGAACACAUUGACAUGGUGUAUGGGCAAAAAGUCAAACUCCCAAACUAUGAUUUUGACAUUUCGAGUUAGCCACAUCCUCAACAUCCACCGAGCAAAAGAGGAAAGGAAAACUGAAUGUAGAGCAGCAGGAGCACUGCUACAAGACAUACAAUCAAAAACUGUGAAACACACAAAUCAACUGUAGAUAAAAUUACUGUAAAUAUAUGACAAAUGUUUUUGUAAAUAGUUCAGAUGUGACUUUAAUGAUUAAAAUGUAAUUUCUGCACA
Molecule: long non-coding RNA, 1651 nt
Organism: Oreochromis niloticus (Nile tilapia)
Lineage: Eukaryota; Metazoa; Chordata; Actinopteri; Cichliformes; Cichlidae
Source: Ensembl